RNAcentral lists this ribosomal RNA (472 nucleotides) under uncultured bacterium. Its description in RNAcentral is "bacterial SSU rRNA". It matches the Rfam family "Bacterial small subunit ribosomal RNA", at positions 355 to 825 of the family's 1533-position model. The record is from RNAcentral.
UGGGGAAUUUUGGACAAUGGGGGAAACCCUGAUCCAGCAAUGCCGCGUGAGUGAAGAAGGCCUUCGGGUUGUAAAGCUCUUUCAGUUGAGAAGAAAUGAUUAUGGCUAAUAAUCAUAAUUGAUGACGGUAUCAACAGAAGAAGCACCGGCUAACUACGUGCCAGCAGCCGCGGUAAUACGUAGGGUGCGAGCGUUAAUCGGAAUUACUGGGCGUAAAGGGUGCGCAGGCGGUUAUGUAAGUCAGAUGUGAAAUCCCCGGGCUUAACCUGGGAAUUGCGUUUGAAACUACAUGACUAGAGUGUAACAGAGGGAAGUGGAAUUCCAUGUGUAGCAGUGAAAUGCGUAGAGAUAUGGAGGAACAUCGAUGGCGAAGGCAGCUUCCUGGGUUAACACUGACGCUCAUGCACGAAAGCGUGGGGAGCAAACAGGAUUAGAUACCCCAGUAGUCCCUGAGCGGGCUGGCAAGGCGCAU